AACGCGAAGAACCUUACCUAGACUUGACAUGUAGUGGACAGAUACAGAAAUGUAUCCUUUCGCAAGGACUGCUACACAGGUGCUGCAUGGCUGUCGUCAGCUCGUGCCGUGAGGUGUUGGGUUAAGUCCCGCAACGAGCGCAACCCUUGUCAUUAGUUGCCAUCACGUUAUGGUGGGCACUCUAAUGAGACUGCCUGGGUUAACCAGGAGGAAGGUGAGGAUGACGUCAAGUCCGCAUGGCCCUUACGUCUAGGGCUACACACGUGCUACAAUGGUCGGUACAAUAGGUAGCAAGACCGAAAGGUGGAGCAAAUCCAAUAAAACCGGCCCCAGUUCGGAUUGAGGUCUGCAAUUCGACCUCAUGAAGUUGGAAUCGCUAGUAAUGGCGCGUCAGCUACAGCGCCGUGAAUACGUUCCCGGGCCUUGUACACACCGCGCAUA
This 441-nucleotide ribosomal RNA is filed under the name uncultured bacterium. Its description in RNAcentral is "bacterial SSU rRNA". It matches the Rfam family "Bacterial small subunit ribosomal RNA", at positions 958 to 1398 of the family's 1533-position model. The record is from RNAcentral.